Long non-coding RNA from Carassius auratus (goldfish), 621 nucleotides. RefSeq lists it as uncharacterized. The transcript has 3 exons. The record is from RefSeq and is a predicted model, not a curated record. Lineage: Eukaryota; Metazoa; Chordata; Actinopteri; Cypriniformes; Cyprinidae.
UUUGUGUGAAAUAUGAACAGCUAUGCUAAUCUUUCUCCUUUUGUUUUCCUGUUUCUCCAGCCUCGCGUGUGGAGACUUCAGAAGAUGCCAGACCUCACAAAGAUUUCAGAUGAUGGAAACUAUAGAUGAACAUGCAAAGCUGCUAAAUAAUCCUUAUAUUGUAAUCAUUGCCCUAAAAGGGAGGAACUUGUCAGCAAAUCUACUUCACAGCACAUCAGUGAAAGCAGUUAACAGUUACAGACAUGUGUUGGAUCAGGGUCAGAUCUGAAUUCUGCAGGUUUCCUGGGAUGACCGUUGAAGAGAUCAGCACAUCAGAUGUUGGCCUGGACAGCUGUACCUACAGUACACCACACUGACUUCUUUGCAUGGAUAGCUGACUACUACUACUACUAUUAUGUUCUGUGAAGGUAUUAUUAUAGGAAACCUGAGCACCUGUGACAGUGGAAAUGUUGUAAUGAAUAGUCACACAUUCAUAUUUGUAAAUUGAAAGUCACAGAUAAUUUUUUUUAGUACUAACAAUGUUUCUUUUUAACUAAUUCUCUCCAGCAAACACAACACAACAAUUACACCAUUUCAUAUUCUGAGGUGCACAAACCCUAUUCUACAAACAAGAGAACAACA